Sinocyclocheilus grahami is the source of this 799-nucleotide long non-coding RNA. The record is from Ensembl. Lineage: Eukaryota; Metazoa; Chordata; Actinopteri; Cypriniformes; Cyprinidae.
UAUCAGUAUGAGAUAGCAGUUGCAGUGUAAGGAUGCAGAAAGAGAUUGUCAUGCUUGAAAUUAUGUGCCUGCUUCAAUCAUUGGACGGUGGAAGAAAGCAUGCAGCUGUUUGAAUGAUUGAAAGACAGCUGAUCUGCAUCAAGAGAGAAAUGGCAUCGGAUGAGAAGCUCAGCCAGUGUUUGGUUUCAUACCAGUGUCUUUCCUCUUCAUCUGUGACAAACUGUGAUUCAAGCUCCUCUGAGUUGAUCAUUCCUCAGACAGUUGCAAACACUACCUUGUUGUCAUGGGCGGAGACUAUACAAUGCAUGGAGCUCUGUUGACAUAUUUUGGAGGUGGGGCACAACCAGGCCCAAGUGCCAGUGCUACAGCUGAUGAUACAGCAGAUCCAUCCUCCAUAGGUGAGGAUCCUGAUGUUCCUUCCAUGUCCGUUUCAACCUCCGAAGGUGUAGCAGGUCAUUCUACUUGUGGUCAUUGGGAUCUAUUACAUCUACUCCUUCAACUUUCAGCCUACCCUAUGGAUCAGAAGCUCCUCCAGUUGACCCAGUCGAGUGGUCAUCUAUUCUGUCUGACUCUGAAAGGACUGAUCUGGUAAGCAGAGGGUCACUGCCUAAAAAGGAAAACUUCACAUUUCCUAAAUAAACCUGAUGGCCGAAGCUUCCACUACACCUACAGGCAAUUAAUUAAUGGGGGAGGGAAUCAAGCGGAGUCUGUUUGUUUCUUUUGUAUAAGAUACUGUUUUUUUUGUAAUAUUUGCCUAAAACACUGAGGCGUACCCAAUGUCAAUUGCGUGCUGUUCUUG